Molecule: long non-coding RNA, 768 nt
Organism: Triticum dicoccoides
Lineage: Eukaryota; Viridiplantae; Streptophyta; Magnoliopsida; Poales; Poaceae
Exons: 4
Source: RefSeq, a predicted model, not a curated record
UCACCGCACCGGCGCGCUCCCCGUCACCUCCCCGAGCAGGCGACCCAGGCUGCCUCUGCCAUUGGAACCACCACCCCAUCCUUAUGCGAGCCGUUGUCGGAGCCAUGGCUGUGGGCCGACUUUUGCUGCCGUUGCCGCCGCUGGGAUCAUCUUACUUGUCCCUCCACGCGCCACUAAUACAAGCUGCGCAACCGUUGCCGGCACAACCCUCCGCCGCGUGACGGAAUUGUCGCCGCCUCUUACAGUUGAUGGCAAGUUGACGACAUGUUGAUUUUCCAUUGUACUGAAGCUGAUGGACAAGUUCUUCUGUCAACCACAACGACCGAGAGCAAAGGUGGAUGCAUGCACCUUCACCGCCUGCAGAGAAAAUGGAAAGAGAGGUGGACCUCAAGGAAACAAAGAAUGAGAAAAUAAGGAAUAAACAAGGAGGGGCAGGGAGGUCACGGCCUCCAAGCCAAUGGCAAGUUAUAUGAUUAUAUCACUCCGGUCCAGAGCCCUGCUGCAUGCCAUGAAUACCACGAGAGACAUCAAGAAGCAGGUGCCAUGGGGUUAUCGGCGUCGAGGUGCACCCCAAUGGCGGACCGAGUGUGCAGGAGGUGGACAUGAGGCGGACCGAGACGUCAUGUUGCUAGAUAAGUAUAAACACCGGGAUUAUCAGGAAGCUGGUGAGCUUCUACCAUCCUUCAAUGUUAGCAUGAUUAGACAUUCAAUAUACUUAUUCAUAUUCAUAUAUAUUUUUUAAAGCUAUGCGAAGCUCAUGUUUAGAUA